Molecule: ribosomal RNA, 428 nt
Filed under: uncultured bacterium
Lineage: Bacteria
Description: partial 16S ribosomal RNA
Rfam family: Bacterial small subunit ribosomal RNA
Source: RNAcentral
GUAGGGAAUAUUGGACAAUGGGGGCAACCCUGAUCCAGCGACGCCGCGUGAGUGAUGAAGGCCUUCGGGUCGUAAAGCUCUGUUGCAGGGGAAGAACACAAUGACGGUACCCUGCUAGAAAGGAUCGGCUAACUUCGUGCCAGCAGCCGCGGUAAGACGAGGGAUCCUAGCGUUGUUCGGAAUUAUUGGGCGUAAAGCGGGUGCAGGUGGCUUGGUAAGUCAGAUGUGAAAGCCUGGGGCUUAACCCCAGAAGUGCAUUUGAUAAUGCUGAGCUUGAGUGCUGGAGAGGCUAUUAGAAUUCCUGGUGUAGUGGUGAAAUACGUAGAUAUCAGGAGGAAUACCGGAGGGGAAGGCGGAUAGCUGGCCAGACACUGACACUCAGACCCGAAAGCGUGGGGAUCAAACAGGAUUAGAAACCCUGGUAGUCC